Molecule: long non-coding RNA, 703 nt
Organism: Capra hircus (goat)
Lineage: Eukaryota; Metazoa; Chordata; Mammalia; Artiodactyla; Bovidae
Exons: 4
Source: RefSeq, a predicted model, not a curated record
GCAGGGCGCGCUCUGAAGAGCCCCCCCCUCGCCCAUGGGCCCGCCCCCAGUAGCUCCGAUCCCGCCCCUUCUUUGGGGCGCGCUCCGUAGAGUCUCUGAGCUGGACUGGACCCAUGGCUCAUCCCGUUUCGGUGCGGAUCCAGCGCAGCGCCCGCGCCCGGCGUGCCUAAAGAGCUGUCACGCUGAGACUUUCUCCAGGAGCUGGGGCGGAGUGCUGAUAUUUUUAUAGCAGCAGAGUGUGCCAGAGGCCAGCAGCUGCUCGGGACAAGCCCUCUCUUUCUGCUGCCCUGGACACUGCUAAAAUGAAUAGUGCAGAAAAUCACUCCUGAGAUCUGGAAACUCAUCUUUUUCCAUGGAAGGCACUGCUAGGCUGCUUCACCACAGUCCUGGAGAAUGGAUGAUGGCUGUCUGAUGAUGCACUGGAACCUGGGCACUUGCUUGUCAUCCCACUCUUGCAACCCUCCCAGGAACUGUGUGGCUCCUUUGGUCAGAGAAGGACUGUAACAGAGGCCUGACUCUUUCCUGUUGAUGUUUAGCUUUUCAAUCUUAACGUUGGUAGCAUAUAUUCUCCUAACAUGGAAGAGAAGAAACUUAAUGAAAGUGAUUAUACAUGUAAGGAUCAAUCCAUGUACACAUGGAGAAAAUAUUUAAUGUGCCAGACCCUGAAAUUAUGUGCUAAGCAAUGAAAUAAAGUGGCAAGCCA